UCCGUAGGUGAACCUGCGGAAGGAUCAUUACUGGGUCAAUGGGCGCCCCCGGGCGCCCGCCUCCACCCCGUGCGUCCCACACCGAACUAUCGGCGCCGAGGGUGGUCCCCCGAAAGGCGGGGCCACCCCUGCUGAAGCACCAACCCUGAACAACGUUGCAGCCUGAAGUAAACAAGCAAAUAGUUAAAACUUUCAACAACGGAUCUCUUGGUUCUGGCAACGAUGAAGAACGCAGCGAAAUGCGAUAAGUAAUGUGAAUUGCAGAAUUCAGUGAAUCAUCGAAUCUUUGAACGCACAUUGCGCCCCCUGGCAUUCCGGGGGGCACGCCUGUCCGAGCGCCAUUUCAACCCUCAAGCCCCGCUUGGUGAUGGGACCCGCCCGCGGGCGGUCCCGAAACUCGUGGGCGCCGAAGGCCGGCUCCGAGCGUAGCAAAACCCUCGCUCAGGAAACCCGGUCGGCGGUCGCCCCGGACCCCAAACAUUAUCACAAGGUUGGCCUCGGAUCAGGCGGGGAUACCCGCUGAACUUGAGCAUAUCAAUAAGCGGAGGAA
This 550-nucleotide ribosomal RNA is filed under the name uncultured Tothia. Its description in RNAcentral is "eukaryotic LSU rRNA". The stretch from base 188 to 341 matches the Rfam family "5.8S ribosomal RNA". The record is from RNAcentral. Lineage: Eukaryota; Fungi; Ascomycota; Dothideomycetes; Venturiales; Venturiaceae.